RNAcentral lists this small nuclear RNA (197 nucleotides) under Solanum tuberosum (potato). RNAcentral's name for it is "snRNA U2". It matches the Rfam family "U2 spliceosomal RNA". From Rfam's summary of the family: U2 is a small nuclear RNA (snRNA) component of the spliceosome (involved in pre-mRNA splicing). Lineage: Eukaryota; Viridiplantae; Streptophyta; Magnoliopsida; Solanales; Solanaceae. The record is from Rfam by way of RNAcentral.
AUACCUUUCUCGGCCUUUUGGCUAAGAUCAAGUGUAGUAUCUGUUCUUAUCAGUUUAAUAUCUGAUAUGCGUGGGUCAUCGAUCCACACGAUAUUAACUCAAUUUUUUGAGGGGGGAGUUCAUUAUGGUAGCUUGCUAUCGGAACUCUCAAGUGUCUUCUUGGUACUACACUACAGCCUAGACCUGGCACACCCCAC